This 29-nucleotide non-coding RNA is filed under the name Rattus norvegicus (Norway rat). The record is from RNAcentral. Lineage: Eukaryota; Metazoa; Chordata; Mammalia; Rodentia; Muridae.
CUUUAGCUGCUUGGCUUUUGAUUCGUGUG